Sus scrofa (pig) is the source of this 954-nucleotide non-coding RNA. The record is from RefSeq and is a predicted model, not a curated record. Lineage: Eukaryota; Metazoa; Chordata; Mammalia; Artiodactyla; Suidae.
AGCCCCUGCGGCCUCAGAGCCACACGGCAGUGGCGUUUCCCCCUUUCCGUGGGUUCUCCGCGGUUAUUCUCAUGACUCCAUGUGUCUGCAGGGAGCCAGCCCGGGAAGGACACAAAACCCCCAUACUGCACGGUCCAUGGCCCACCGGGCGGCCUCGGCUCUCUGACCACGACCGCCCCUGCCCGGCUCAACCAGGGCUCACAAAGGCCUUGCAGAGCAUCCUGCAGGUGCCCUGGGUGAGCAGACAGGGCAGAGGAGAGGGCCAGGGGCCGGUCUGAGAACUGGAGAAAGAAGAAAAAUUACUGAAGGAUGUAAGCAAGCCCGACCCCAACAAAAGAAAAGAGACGAUCCUUUGAUGCAGGAAACAUCUCCCGUGUGGGCGGGAGAGGAGGCCACGUCGAACUUGGCUGGGGCUACGCCGGAGGACUACUUCCCGGGGAUGCCGGGGCUCUAGGAGGGGGCGUCCUGGAGGAGCCACCCAUGGAGCUGGUUCCAGCAGCUCACCUCUCAGCCCAGCCAAACACAGGACUUCUUGGAGGGGCCGCGGGAGGAGUGUGCAGACCAGGACGCCAGCCCUGCUGUGUCGCCAGAGACGACUGUCCCUCUCCCUCCUUCGGAGCCUCCGUUUCCCCACAUUUACAACGAAGCUGCACCUGAUCCAUCCCAAGUGAUAAACCACUUUGUAGCACUGAAAAGUUUCUUCAUGAGAAAGCUUCCCCAGGGCCCCCACUUGAAGAAAAUGACUCAGGGGGGGGGGGUCAAAUGUUGACUCAACUCCCGGCCCACCUGCUCUUAAAGGUCGACCGGGAGGCACCCCCCAAGGAACAACCCCCCCCCCCGGGGGGGGCGGUUCCUGGGAGCCCACUUAGAGAACGGCAAGACUCUGUUCUAAAUCUGACAUUCUGGGAGUUCCCACUGUGGCUCAGCUGGUUAAGAACCCAACUGUAUCCAUGA